RNAcentral lists this ribosomal RNA (250 nucleotides) under uncultured bacterium. RNAcentral describes it as "partial 16S ribosomal RNA". It matches the Rfam family "Bacterial small subunit ribosomal RNA", at positions 524 to 773 of the family's 1533-position model. The record is from RNAcentral.
UACGUAGGGGGCGAGCGUUGUCCGGAUUUAUUGGGCGUAAAGGGCGUGUAGGCGGCCUGGUAAGUCGGGGGUGAAAACUCAGGGCUCAACCCUGAGACUGCCUUCGAUACUGUCGGGCUUGAGUGCUCUAGAGGGUAGUGGAAUUGCCGGUGUAGCAGUGAAAUGCGUAGAGAUCGGCAGGAACACCAGUGGCGAAGGCGACUGCCUGGGGAGUAACUGACGCUGAGGCGCGAAAGCUGGGGGAGCAAAC